UACGUAGGGUGCGAGCGUUAAUCGGAAUUACUGGGCGUAAAGCGCACGUAGGCGGUCUUUUAAGUCGGGGGUGAAAUCCUGGAGCUCAACUCCAGAACUGCCUUCGAUACUGGAAGACUCGAGUCCGGGAGAGGUGAGUGGAAUUCCGAGUGUAGAGGUGAAAUUCGUAGAUAUUCGGAAGAACACCAGUGGCGAAGGCGGCUCACUGGACCGGCAUUGACGCUGAGGUGCGAAAGCGUGGGGAGUAAACAGG
This 253-nucleotide ribosomal RNA is filed under the name uncultured bacterium. RNAcentral's name for it is "partial 16S ribosomal RNA". It matches the Rfam family "Bacterial small subunit ribosomal RNA", at positions 524 to 776 of the family's 1533-position model. The record is from RNAcentral.